UACGGAGGGUGCAAGCGUUAUCCGGAUUCACUGGGUUUAAAGGGAGCGUAGGUGGGUUGGUAAGUCAGUGGUGAAAUCCCCGAGCUUAACUUGGGAACUGCCAUUGAUACUAUUAGUCUUGAAUACUGUGGAGGUCAGCGGAAUAUGUCAUGUAGCGGUGAAAUGCUUAGAUAUGACAUAGAACACCAAUUGCGAAGGCAGCUCGCUAAGCUAUAACUGACGCUCAUGCACGAAAGCGUGGGGAUCAAACAGG
RNAcentral lists this ribosomal RNA (253 nucleotides) under uncultured bacterium. Its description in RNAcentral is "partial 16S ribosomal RNA". It matches the Rfam family "Bacterial small subunit ribosomal RNA", at positions 524 to 776 of the family's 1533-position model. The record is from RNAcentral.